UUGUGAAGGAAGUUGCCAAACACCUUGGAAAAGACAGCUGCCAGGUAAGCGCAUGGCUCAGAUGAAUGUGCUAAAAAAAAAAUGCACUAGGAAAUCCUGACCAGGGUGCAAUCAGUCACUGUUAAUGCUCCGUCCAGAAGAGAUUUGUAAGACUCAAGAGAUAUGGACUCAAGAAAGAGGGAUCCUCCAAGAGGUAGUAGAUAUCACUCUACUGGACCCAAAACUACAAAUCGAAGGAAACUCUUGGUGUCCUAAGUAUGUUCUGUGUAUUUCCUGGGUGUUUUCUUUUAAAAAUGUGUUUUUACUAGUUUUGAUUUUAGAGAGAGGAAAGGACACAGAGAGAGGAAUAGAAACAUCAAUGCUGAGAGAGAAUCAUUGAUUGGCUGCCUUCUGCACGCCCCUACUGGGGAUCAAACCCAAAACUCGGCAAGUGCCCUGACUGGGAAUCCAACCAUGAUCUCCUGAUUCAUGAGUUGAUGCUCAACCAUUGAGCCACACUAGCAGGGCACCUGGGUGUUUUUAUAGAUUCAUAGUAGUGAUGUAGUAGAAAGGUCUAAGAACUUGGAAGGAGAAAACAGAGGUUCCAGUCCUUCUGUGGCCACUUUUAAGUGCUGUGAUCUUACAUGAGUCAGUGAAUGUGAGUGUAUUUCUUCAUAGAGCCAUGGUAGGGGUUUAAAUGCAAUAAUUAUGCACUUAAUCAGUCCAAGUUUGCUGAAUCAGUACAUGACUUUUUGGGGGGUGGGAGACAUAAAAGGUAGAAAAUGAAAUGUAUGAAGGAGGUGGUGAAUAAAAUAGAUAAAGUAGAUUUAAGUAGAGCUAACUUUUCAAAUAAAAUAAAAUGUGUAAAGUCCUACUUUUUUGUCAUUUACAGAUUAAUAUGAGGAUAUCUGACUAAAAUAAAUUUAAGAACGCCCUACUUUUAUUUUUGCUUCUUUCAUAUUAUACUUGUUUUUUCAUACCAU
Long non-coding RNA from Myotis daubentonii (Daubenton's bat), 962 nucleotides. RefSeq lists it as uncharacterized. The record is from RefSeq and is a predicted model, not a curated record. Lineage: Eukaryota; Metazoa; Chordata; Mammalia; Chiroptera; Vespertilionidae.